UGACUUUUUACUUACAGACAAUAUGUUAGUCACAAAACAGAAAUAAUAAAGUUGACUUUCUGAUCUUAUUUAUUUAUUUAUUUAUUUAUUUAUUUAUUUACUUAUUUAUUUAUUUCUUUUACUGGGACAGGAAGCCAAAUCAGGAGUGAUAGGAGGAUAAUUAUUUCUAAACAAAAGCAUUCAGUGUUUCUAAUGCAGGAACUGUCAGCUAUGAAAAGUGGUCUGAUUGACACAAAGUCUAGAAUUAUAAUGUCUGGAUCUCAUCAGUUCCUGGCUGAACUCUUUGCAAUGGUCUGA
Molecule: long non-coding RNA, 297 nt
Filed under: Anas platyrhynchos platyrhynchos (common mallard)
Lineage: Eukaryota; Metazoa; Chordata; Aves; Anseriformes; Anatidae
Description: lncRNA (ENSAPLG00000022098.1)
Source: RNAcentral